ACAGGGGGAUAACAGUUAGAAAUGGCUGCUAAUACCGCAUAAGACCACAGCACCGCAUGGUGCAGGGGUAAAAACUCCGGUGGUAUGAGAUGGACCCGCGUCUGAUUAGCUAGUUGGUGGGGUAACGGCCUACCAAGGCGACGAUCAGUAGCCGACCUGAGAGGGUGACCGGCCACAUUGGGACUGAGACACGGCCCAAACUCCUACGGGAGGCAGCAGUGGGGAAUAUUGCACAAUGGGGGAAGCCCUGAUGCAGCGACGCCGCGUGAGCGAAGAAGUAUUUCGGUAUGUAAAGCUCUAUCAGCAGGGAAGAAAAUGACGGUACCUGACUAAGAAGCCCCGGCUAACUACGUGCCAGCAGCCGCGGUAAUACGUAGGGGGCAAGCGUUAUCCGGAUUUACUGGGUGUAAAGGGAGCGUAGACGGAUGGACAAGUCUGAUGUGAAAGACUGGGGCUCAACCCCGGGACUGCAUUGGAAACUGCCCGUCUUGAGUGCCGGAGAGGUAAGCGGAAUUCCUAGUGUAGCGGUGAAAUGCGUAGAUAUUAGGAGGAACACCAGUGGCGAAGGCGGCUUACUGGACGG
This 583-nucleotide ribosomal RNA is filed under the name uncultured Lachnospiraceae bacterium. RNAcentral's name for it is "bacterial SSU rRNA". It matches the Rfam family "Bacterial small subunit ribosomal RNA", at positions 135 to 736 of the family's 1533-position model. Lineage: Bacteria; Bacillati; Bacillota; Clostridia; Lachnospirales; Lachnospiraceae. The record is from RNAcentral.